This is a long non-coding RNA of Dioscorea cayenensis subsp. rotundata (Guinea yam), 372 nucleotides long. RefSeq lists it as uncharacterized. Lineage: Eukaryota; Viridiplantae; Streptophyta; Magnoliopsida; Dioscoreales; Dioscoreaceae. The record is from RefSeq and is a predicted model, not a curated record. The transcript is spliced from 3 exons.
AGCUAUAAAUAGAGUUCCUUGAUAUCUCUUUUUUUAUGUGCUUCUAGUUCUGAUUCAAAAUACACAAUGGAGUUACAACUAAUUAAGGAGAAAGACACCUUACCACAACCACACACUACUGCAACUCUCAAAUGUCCUAUGGAUGGAAAAUUUUAUGUUAGCCCGGCACCGGGGAAGCCGCCUUUUGUUAAGGUUGGAGAUAAGGUUACAAAAGGUCAAGUUGUUUGUCUCAUUGAGACUGUAAAAACUCAUGAACGCGAUUCAGAUCGAUCGAUCUGGAACAAUUGUUGACAUGCUUGCAGAGAAUGGAAAAUCGGUUAAUUUCGAUGCUACUUUACUUGUAAUUCAGCCAUGAAAUGAAAGAAGUUUAUA